AUAAAUAUGGUUUACAAGCGUAGCAUAAAAAUUAAUUGUUUGUGUUUUUUGGUCAUUUGAUAAAACUUUGAAGAAAAUACCAAAAAAAAAACUAAACUUAAUAAUUAAAUAAAUUUUAAUUUUUUUUAUCAUUAAAACUAACUAAAACAAAACUAAAAUCAAUUAUGCAACAAUGCGGUGGAUGCGGUACCUGCAAGUGCCAGGGACAGUGCAACUGUAGUUGCUGCAAAAAAUGAUAAAGUUAUGGACUGGUAUUUGGAUAAAUGAUUGUUACAACACAUAACAGGAUGUCCAUAAUUACCACAUUACAACAUCAAUAAUAAUAAUAAUAAUUUUUAAAAAUUUCAACUUAUUUUUUAUUAUAUUAUUUUAAUUAUGUCAAAAUUUUCUGAUAUAUUAAAUUUGUAAAACAGAUUAUAGAAAUUAUUUAAAUGAAAAAUUUUUAAUAAAUAAUUUUUUAUUGUCAAUA
Molecule: long non-coding RNA, 469 nt
Organism: Oppia nitens
Lineage: Eukaryota; Metazoa; Arthropoda; Arachnida; Sarcoptiformes; Oppiidae
Exons: 2
Source: RefSeq, a predicted model, not a curated record